This is a non-coding RNA of Camellia sinensis, 1290 nucleotides long. NCBI's taxonomy places the organism in Eukaryota, Viridiplantae, Streptophyta, Magnoliopsida, Ericales, Theaceae. The record is from RefSeq and is a predicted model, not a curated record.
UUAACUCGUUAAGGUCUCUCACUCUUUCAUCUCUCACUCCAUUGCUCUCGCUAUCCGUCUGCUCUCACUCCACUAGUCCUCCAUUUGCUGCUCUCACUGCCUAGGUCUCAUCUCACUCACCAGCAACCGAGCAAUGAGCAUGCACUUCUCCAGGCAGGGACUGCGAUGGCCAGUGUGAGUUUUGCUCCGUCGAGUUCCAUUUGAGGUUCAAAUGUAUCGAUGAUCAAACCCUAGAUGUCACCAGCAAGGACCUUUACAGCUCCAACCACACCAUUGUUCUGGUUGAUUUCUCUGAUUCCAGCUCUGGUUUUGACAAUUCCGAACAGAGGUCCUCAAUUUCUUAUUCUUCUGAUACAAGCAAAGGUGUAAUUUUUUUAGUUCCUAUGAGCUACUAGCGGGGAUGGGAAGAAGGCGAAGGCCUUGGGAAAGAGAAGCAAGGGAUCAAUGGAUAUGUCAGAGUUAAGAACAAACAGGACAUUGCAGCUUCUUUUUUUUCUGUUGUUGCUCUUCGUUUCUCUGAUUUUUUGUUUAUUCAUCAAAUUCAUGCUCUGUUUUGUUGCCUAGAACAUAAAGUUUAUUUAUUUUAAUUGUCUUCUGAAUCAAAGGAGCUAAUAAGCUUAACCUUGUUGUGGGAUGAGUUUUUCAUACAUAAGGAGUUCAUGACAUUUGACAGUUCAAUAGGUACUGGGACAUAAUUGUUCAAAAUUACAAUAGGUAUUGGUGCAGAUGAGGGCAUUUGAUACAUCACAGUUUGACAGCAUCCUCAAGAGAUUGAAAGUAAAGCUGCAGAAAUCAAGGAUAAAGCUGUUGAAAAGGAUGAUGUUCAAGAGGUUGAUACCGAUGUCACCUUAGAGACUAAUACAGUUGUCAAGUCUACUCAACCCUAAGGAAGGUAUAAGAAAAGAGAGGGAAACUUGUCUGUGCAUAUUCUUCUGAGGAUCUUGGAGGAAUACUUGUGAGUUACUAAGCUUGGUAACUUAGGUCCCCAAGUUUUUUCGCAUAGAGUUGAUUGAAACAGGGAUUGUGAGGGUAGGGGUUUGAAUUCAGUUCCUUGGAAAAUGGGGGUUAUGUCUAGGCGGGUUUUACCCAUUUGUGGUAAAGUCUGUUUCUUCUAUCCUUCCCUGCGGGCAAGGUCGAGACAGCCUGUGAAGUGGUACAAAAAUCUUUUUGCUGAUAUCUUCCCUCGGUCUCAGGUGUUUUAGAUGCCUUAUUGCAAUCAGAACCCUGGUUCAUUCAAUUAAGAGAUGAAGGAAGGACUCCACUUCACUUGAUUGCAUGAUUGGGCUAUCU